UAAAGCCACUGUCAUUCCCUUAAAGCCCCCUUGUCCUCCUCAGAAAGCCAUUUGGGAAAAGCCAUGUCCUUGAGUUACCAAGAGAGUUCUCUGAGGAAGGAGAAGACCUGAACCGCAGUGGAGAAAAUUCAAGUCUGUGGACUCGGAUAUCCCACCAUGUAUGACCAGGAUUUCUUCGUCAAUGAUUGUACCAAUUGGGAGCCAGGCAUAGACUUCUUCCAAGACUUGUAAGAUUUUCUUUCCAUAUAGCUAGCCCAAGAGAAGUGAUGGAAGAACAGGAGACUCCUUUGGCCUAAAGAAGUAUGCAGACAAAUAAAGAGAAGGAGAGAAAGGAGAGAGAAUGUGAAAGAGAAUGAGAAGUAGAGAGACGUUGCUGAAGAGGGACUGCUUUGCCUUUGAUGGGGACAUCCUGCUACCCUGGGAUGGAAACUAGGUGAUGGUUCUGGGUUGGGGGAAUCUCAAAAGGCAGCAAGA
Rhinolophus ferrumequinum (greater horseshoe bat) is the source of this 474-nucleotide long non-coding RNA. RefSeq lists it as uncharacterized. The record is from RefSeq and is a predicted model, not a curated record. The transcript is spliced from 3 exons. NCBI's taxonomy places the organism in Eukaryota, Metazoa, Chordata, Mammalia, Chiroptera, Rhinolophidae.